AUCCCACGUGCGUUUAUCAGCUGUUCGCCGAUGGAAAAUUGGAAACCCGAUUUCAUGCAAACAAAACGUCUGAAUUCUAAAUCUGAAUAUCUGUUUUCAAAUACCUUACAGGCUUCCCACAUAUAUUUUAUCAUAAGCUUCUGUAAAUUUCUUCGGUUAAUUGCUAUAAAAGACACCGAAAAUGUCGAUUUCAAUGAAGAAAAGAAAGCUGCAUGAAGAUGAAGAAGAUUCAAGACCAACUAAAAUUGUUUCUACUAGUAUCAAUAACAAACAAAUAAUUUACAUUCUCCCUGAUUGUAUUGGACCCAGAAGACUUGAAAUUAUGGAGAAGUCUGUUAACAAAAUGGGCCUUACACUAUCAACCAGAAUGACAGCCAAUGUAACUCAUGUCUUAUCAGAACUUGAAACUAAAGAGGAUGUCUUGGAAAGCAAAGAAUUCUCGAAAUUCAAAUCCUGGAAAGGUUAUAUAUUACAUGCUAAAUGGCUUGCUGAAUGUGUCAGAUGUCAUUCUUUGGUAUCAGAAACUGGGUUCCUGCUACCUUCCAUACCUUCUCAUGAAAAGAAAGCUGACGAUGUUGUCCCACAUGAAGAGAUUCCUUUGUACCCAAUUCCAGAAUUUGACUUGAAGGCAUUUAAUGAAUGCAUCCCUGAAAGAAAAGCUAUCUUGGAUCACCAGAACAAAGAAAUAGCAGCAGCCCUUGAUUUACUAAGUGAAUAUUGGGAAAUUUGUCAUCAAACGAAAACUGACGAAAAUCGUGCUCUUGCUUUCGCACGAGCUGCCGCUGCCAUAAAAUGCUUACCCUUCAAGGCAACUAACUCACAACAGUUAAAAGGGAUUAAAGGUCUCGGAAAUGGUCAUGCGCUGCGAGUUGCAACCCAAAUUCUCGAAUCUGGAUAUUGUCCGGAAGUGGAAGAAAAGAGAAACGAUAAGAAAUUUCUCUCACUCCAGAUAUUUUGUAAAGUCUACGGAGUUGGCCCAUCUAUUGCUGAGAAAUGGUAUGCCCAGGGUCUACGCACGGUUGAAGACGUAAAGAAACUUGAUCAACACGACAUUGCCAAUAACGACAUGAUAGCACACGGAGUGGCUUUCUACGACGAUUUGAAUCGACCGCUGUUGCGGGCGGAGGCCGAAAAUACGUACAAAUACAUCACAGAUUUAGCAAAGCUCAUCCUGCCGUCUGUCGUGACUAGCAUGAACGGAGGAUUUCGCCGCGGGAAAUCUUCUGGUCACGAUCUGGAUGUGCUAUUUUCGUAUCCGGAGCGCGAGGAUGGCGAUUACGGUUUAAUUGCAGCCGUUCUAGACGAAUUGAACAAGAAAGGUCUGGUCGUUUGGUCACGAGCCACGCACACAGACGGGCCACGGAAAGUUAUCGAAAUUAUUUCCAGCCCACUUUCCUCUGGUUCGACAAACGAACAUUUGCCGACGACGAUGAUCAUUUUUAAGUACCCGCUUGACGAUCGAUUCGAUGAAUUCGAACGGCGCGACUUUUCUGGUGAGAGAAAUUUAGGACCUUUCCAGUUGGCGAAUUUGAACCGACAAUGGCGCGCUAUACGAGUGGAUCUAGUCGGGUCAACGAAUGCGCAGUAUCCCUAUGCUCAGGUCGGCUGGACGGGCAGUAAACAGUACAACCGCAGUCUUCGGCAGUACGCCAAGGAUAGCCUCAACUACUCUUUGAGCAGCAUGGGCCUGCACGACAAUGGCCAGGAAACGGAACCGAAACGAGAACAGGGGUCGCCCUAAUAACCUGAACCGUCUGGGCACUCUGCACGGCAAUCAAUUCGCAGUAUGUACACCUCUACCGAGUGGCCAAAGGACCAAGGACCUCUAGCUGCUCGCUGAGAUAAUAACGGAGCCCGAAUAUAGGAAGCCCAGAUGACCUCAAACACACACCCGAGACCACAAGAACUAAAAUAAUGUCGCGGCAGUCCUUAAAAAAAUAGAAAAUGGCGGGGACAGUUAUUCGUGUUCAAUGACGUGUGAGAAAGAAGAAGAAGAGAGACCAUUCAACAAAGGAGAAGAUGAAACACGGGCGAUCUAUUAAGGUGUGUAAUGUGAGUGACCGACCCGAGACAGCUCGUCCAACACCUGGGAUCCCGUGGAUCCAGUCACGUGUUUAGCGCCACCAUUUGGUAACUCAUACAUCGGCAAAACAUCUACCCCAACCAAAAUAUCAACAACAACAACAAAGGAGACGGGUUGAAGCAGAUAGAGAGAGAAAA
This 2220-nucleotide unclassified non-coding RNA is filed under the name Daphnia pulex (common water flea). Its description in RNAcentral is "dNA nucleotidylexotransferase-like, transcript variant X2". The record is from RNAcentral. Lineage: Eukaryota; Metazoa; Arthropoda; Branchiopoda; Diplostraca; Daphniidae.